Molecule: long non-coding RNA, 615 nt
Filed under: Phasianus colchicus (ring-necked pheasant)
Lineage: Eukaryota; Metazoa; Chordata; Aves; Galliformes; Phasianidae
Description: lncRNA (ENSPCLG00000012355.1)
Source: RNAcentral
AUGAGGGAACUGCCUGGUGCUCUGUGUGACCCCAUCUUCCACCAGCUGGUUGAGCUGCUCAGCAACAGCUUCUACUCCUGGGAGAUGGUGGCCAUGGUCUUCCUCAUUGAGAUGCUGGAGUGUGUGGACCUCACCACAGAGCUGCACCACAUCCUGAAAGUCUUCACCACCUAUCUGCAGAGCCAGAAAAUGGGCAUGCAGCAGCUGGUGCUCAGGGACAUCCUGCAGCUCAGCAAGAGGCAGGACACGGCGUCCAGCACUGUGCGGCAGCUCUCCAUCGACCUCUUCUUGGAAAUGUUGAGCUUUGCGGAGGGCCAAGGGAAGAGGAAGAUGCAGAAGGAGGUGUGCAAGAACUUGGCCCUGCUGUAUCUGCAGCUGCACGAUGAGAAAGACAGUGUGGCCAAGGCCUCCCAGAAAGCCCUCCUCAGUGCCGCAUUGUUCCUGUGCUGGAGGUGGCUGGAGCACCUGGUGCAGACAGCGCAGUUCUGGCAGAUCAGCGAGUGCCUGCUGGUCAAGAGGAGGAGGAAGAAUGUGGCACAGGACUACCUGGGCCAGAGCCUGCUCUACCUACGGAGCCCGCAGGACCCCUGCGCCGGGAAGCUGUGAAAUUCAUCA